UGGAGUGUAGCUCAGAGAUAGAGCACUUGCCUAAAAUAUAACAGGACCUGGGUUCAAUCCCCAGUACAGCUC
RNAcentral lists this transfer RNA (72 nucleotides) under Heterocephalus glaber (naked mole-rat). It matches the Rfam family "tRNA". Rfam says of the family: Transfer RNA (tRNA) molecules are approximately 80 nucleotides in length. Lineage: Eukaryota; Metazoa; Chordata; Mammalia; Rodentia; Bathyergidae. The record is from Rfam by way of RNAcentral.